RNAcentral lists this long non-coding RNA (710 nucleotides) under Scleropages formosus (Asian bonytongue). Its description in RNAcentral is "lncRNA (ENSSFOG00015029472.1)". The record is from RNAcentral. Lineage: Eukaryota; Metazoa; Chordata; Actinopteri; Osteoglossiformes; Osteoglossidae.
AAAUGACAUAAGUGUGUAAAUGCCUAAGUCCCUGUAAGUACUGUACCUUAGUAAAUAUUCAGGUAGCACCAGGCUGUGGUUUAGGAUCUGGGGUUCAAUCUUCACUCAGUCUGUGUGGAGUUUGCCUGUUCUCCCCAUGUUCACAAUGUAAGUCACUUUGGAGAAAAGUGAGACAAAUGAGUAAAUAUUCACAAUCAUAUUUUCAAUAGGCAUUUUAGCCAGAAGGCCGCACCUGCGACUGGAAUCCAAGCGGACUUGGUGUGGACUCCACAAACACAGUGCCACUGAAGGUGGGAGGUUCGCGUCCCUUCUCCUGUGCCUCUGUAUAGACAUCUACGUCUUCAUAGGUCUUCCACAGCAGUUAUUCCUGACUAGUAUGAGUACCAGGGGGCCCCUGUUACUCUGAAACCCUCUUGUUCUUUUCACUCAUGAUAUUUUUGCAGUAAAUGUCCUCCACCCAGUCGCUGCCAUGUGGGUCGACAGUGUCGGACCAGCGUUUCCGUUCAGACAGCUGUCUGCGUCCCAUCACUUCUCCAUGGGCUCCGGCCACCAUUUCGCGCCCUCGGUUUCGCCGCCAAAAAGCCCGGGAGAAGCGCGAGAGCGUAGCCGGUCACGUGUGUCGGCGCACGCGGAAAUCCCUGGGCGCCAACGGGCCCUCAAGCUUUCUCAACAAUCUCCGCUCCACUAAAGACAGUAUUUCUGCUGGGUGA